UGCUUGCUUCAGUAGCACAAUAAUAAAACUGUAAUGAUACAGAGACAAUUAGCAUGGCUGCUGCGUAAGGAUGAAAGGAAAAAGAAAAAAACACACAAAACUUUA
Saimiri boliviensis boliviensis (Bolivian squirrel monkey) is the source of this 105-nucleotide small nuclear RNA. Lineage: Eukaryota; Metazoa; Chordata; Mammalia; Primates; Cebidae. The record is from Ensembl.